RNAcentral lists this long non-coding RNA (5539 nucleotides) under Sus scrofa (pig). Its description in RNAcentral is "lncRNA (ENSSSCG00000051985.1)". The record is from RNAcentral. Lineage: Eukaryota; Metazoa; Chordata; Mammalia; Artiodactyla; Suidae.
GAGCCACGGCAUGACAUCAGAUCCUUAACCUGCUAAGCCACCAGGGAACUCCAACACAUUCUUUUUAAAAUUAAUUUUAUUACCUCCUGGAUAUGUUGUGGUUAUUCAGUGUUUCUUGAAUGAAUGAAUGAAUGGAUGGAUGGAUUUUUAUUCCCACCAUCACAGUCCAGGCCUGUCUUUUCAUCAGCUUCUCCCUGGAUGACAGGAACAAGCCUUUGAUUGGUCCCCUCCUCUGGAUGCGCCUUCCCUCAGUGUCCUUCCUCUCCACACCCACCCAGUCCUGUCACACUUACAGAAGGGACCUCUCAUUUGCAAGGAGGGCAAACGAGGCGGCUCAGAGGAUUUCUCCUGCUCCUCUCACGAUCAAGGCUGGCCUCGGAACACACAGCUGCCCUCUCCCCUGGGUCCAGACCCCGGCGCCCUGCUCAGUGCUUCCUCAUUCUAACAAGUGCUUCUCUCAUUCAAUGGCUGCCUUUGCCUUUGCUUUUUCUCUCCUUUCCCCCUGCUGCUGGGUCUUGGAAAGGUCUCGAGUCUCUGAUGGGAGGUCAAGGGAAUCAUUCAGUUAGAAAAUUGAGGCCAUUUCGAUGGGGGAAUCUUUUCACAGCAUCUACAUACAGCAAAUCAUCAUGCUCUAUAUCUUAAAGAUCUUACAAUUUUAUUUGUCAGUUAUGCCCUAAUAAAGCUGAAGAAAGGAAUAUUAAGGCCAAAGGCUAAGACACCAGCAGGGUCUGAGGGCCAGAAGAUAGACUGGAGGACGCUGAGUGAGUUCCCCAAGAGGGGCAUAUCCCAAGGAUGGGGCUUGGGGGAUUUUGCAGCAGGAGGUGAGAGAAAGACAGACGUCUGUCUGAUCCUUGAGCUUGAGGUAGAGAGAGAGUUCAACAAAGAGGGUGAGGCCAGCAGCAGGAAUGCCGCUGAGGAUGGAGGAACCACGAGUCGCCUUCCGUGGCUGAGGUGGACGUGCUCCACGGCCCCUGGGAGCAGGGCUUGGGGCCUGGCUGUGACCAGAGGCCCUUAGGCUGGAUCUGGUGCUGCGGAACCUCCUGGUGAGGCUGGACGGUGAACCUGGAAGGGUGUGGACCCUCCAUCAAACCCCAGGGACAAGUGCCCGAGACCCCACUGAGCAGAAACAGGGUGGGACGGAAACCAAACAAAAUGCUCCUUUAAAGCCACCUGAAAUCCAUGUUUCAGGAAUGUUUGAUUUGGGGCUUCUCUUUCCUGCCGCCGGAUAUGUAAAGAAAACAAAUCUUUAAAGCUUCAACUCCAAAGAAAGAGCCCUCUGUGUGCCUAGUUAUGGCCCCUGCUUCAGGAACAAGCCUCUUUUCCUCUUUGGCCGGGACUGUAUCCAAGGCAGAUAAUGCCCCUGGGUGCAGCCCCAGUGUCUGCCAAGAGUUCAGAGGAGAGCUGGCACAACCAGACCUCGAGGCCUUCCAGAGGCUUCCGCACCAGGGGCCUGAGGUGGCUGACAGAUGGGGAUACCUCUGGGGAGUUGAGAGGGCCACACCCCUGCCCCAACCCAGGUCUGGCUGCUCUUCCCCUAGAGACAGAUACUUGGUGGGGGAAAGAGGGAGCUGAGACAUCACCCCCUCCUCAUCCCUGGCCACUUCCACAUGAUCUAAAUCAGAGCCUGCAAAAAGGGCAGGGGAAUGGAGCCAGAGGGACAGGGACUUGCUCAUGCCAGGCUUCCCAAGCCCGAGUCCGGCCCUCCCACUGCGCCCUUUACAGCAGCCCCGCACCCACGGGGCUGCGGCCGGUGUGAAGAAGUGAGAGUCUGGAGCGCCUUCCCUUCGUGCACUGUGUCAUCACACAAGCACCCAAGUUUCCCUUCUGCAGAUGUGGCUCGGAGAGACUAGGGACUUUUCUGGAGCCACAGCCCCAGGAAGCAACCACGGCUGCUUUGCAAACCGGGCCUCCUAAUGCCCAGUCUUGGCAUCCCACUGCCUGGCCAGGAAAAGGGCAGGCAGGAGAGUGUCUUUCCAUGUCGUGUUUGUCAGGGCUGAGGAACAGAUAUCUGGGAACUCCUGGGCAGGGUCUUUCCCAGCCCAGGCGGCCAAGGGUCCUGCCCAGGGGUCGGUACUCUUGUUUGAUGACCUAAUGUCCCCUCUGCUACUACAGGACAGACGAGGUUCAGGCAAAGGACGCUAAUGAUUCAUCAAAUAAGCCCUGCCUGGGGCCCGGUCUACCUCAGGGCUUGCGUCCAGACCAGGGACCCUCCCCUUUCGCCACUAAGAAAUGGACUCCCAGGAGGGCAGGGCAGGAAUAGCCCUGAGGACCCUCUGGAAAACUUGGUCGUUGCAGAGAGGGAGAUGAAGGCUGGAGGGCUGUCUAAGGGCACGUCCACAAAAGUAAGAGCAGCACCUUCCCCGCAAACCAUUUUGAAGAUUAAAUGAGAUAAGACAAGGGAUUUCCUGUUGUGGCAAAAUGGAAUCGGCAGCGUUUCUGGAGCACCGGGACGCAGGUUCGAUCCCUGGCCCGGCACAGUGGGUUAAGAAUCCGGCAUUGCUGCAGCUGCAGCAUAGGUCGCAACCGUGUAUCAGAUCUGAUCCCUGUCCAGGAACUCCGUAUGCCAAGGGCGCAGCCCCCCACCCUCAAAUAAGUAUAAAUGAGAUAAUAAAAGCCCAGCACUUAGCCCACAGUUAGCAUUCAAACCAGUCCUGGUAUUGUCAUCACUUUUGUGAUUUUGCCCACGGAAGCCAAGUUCCCAGGCCUCCAGGAGAAGAAAGAGUGCACUCCCUGCUCCAGCCCAGGCCUCCGAUCCACCUGGCGCCUCACCGUGGGGUGGAAAGGGCCGAGAAGCAGGAGGCUGAGGACCCAGCCUGCCUGGCCUCUCCUUGGCUACCUGACCCUGGAGACAAGCCCAGCCGAACCUCUCCCCCAGCAUCUGUGCCUUGAUGCUCUUCUCACUGAGAAAUAAGCUAGAUAUUCAGUGUGGGAAUUUCCAAUUUCAGCAGCAAAACUGUCCCGACCCGAAGCAGCUGGGGAAAAGCGUGUGCCUGGCGCAGAGGGGGAAGCCCCGGUCAGAGACAGACAAAGGCAGCCUGUGCCAGCCCUGCCUCUGUCCUGGCCCAGAGUUCUAGAAGGUUCCAUGCCCAGGCCCAAGGGCUUCCAAGAAUCACAGUUGAAAGUUAUUACUUGAAAGCUGUCAGACAGUCUACUUGGUGUUCCUGGAAGCUGUGGUCCGGGGAAGGUGAUGAGGGAUGGGCCGAGAGGGCCGGGGCGAGUGAGCAAAGCAGAGCAUGGAAGACGCUGCAAUGAGGAAGAAGAGGCGGAGGAACAAGCGAGAGGGGAGACCGAGAGGAAAGGGGGGAGCAGGUGAGGCAGAGACAGCCGCAGACAGACGGGGACACACAGGGAGGCCACAGAGAGAGGAUGGCUCCAAGCAAGGCCAGUUCACAGGGCUCAGAUGAUCACAGCUUUGGCUACUUUUAGCCUGGGACACUGCCAGGCCUAGAAACAGACGCGACAAGGUGCUUUCUUAACAGGAAACUCCCUCACCCGCGUGGGAGGGCAGAGCCGUUGGGUGGUUAUCUUGCUGCUCCCUUGAACAGGCUCAGCCCUCACCCCCAGGCCCCCUCGCCUGGGGGACACAGACUUGCUUGCGUCUCUGUGAAACUCCACUGCUCAGGGCCCCUCCGAAGACGCACCCUGCCCCUUGGCUGCCCAGCCACCAGGAAACCCCAAAACGCAGGAGUGGGACUGCUGUGGCCACAGUGACUGGCACCCCGAAGGCCCCAGCAGGUCCCAGAGUUCGGGCCCUGGCAUCCCCGGGAUCCUCUUAUGGGGACAAAUGCAACCCUUGGUUAAGCACCUGCCACGUGCCAGCACUGGGCCAAGCUCUCCACGUGCGCUGCAUAACAAAUCCUCAGAAGGGCACAAGGAGAAGUGACGAUUUGUCUCACUGGACAGCAGGAACCCAGGCAGGCAGGCUGGCUGCAGAGCCCACCACCACCCUCAGCUGAAAUCGUCUGUAAAUGCCUAAGAAGCCCAGUGUCAUGACAACGGUUAAAGUUUUGGCUCUGUCGCCUAGAAGCAGGGUGACCUCGGGCAAGCGGCUUGUUUUCUCAGUUCUGGUUUCCUCAUCUCUAAGACGAGAAUAACAACUUCAGUGGGGGGGGGGGUUAUUGUGAGGAUUAAAGGAGAUUGUGUGACCCAUAGAGCCCAGGCCCCACUGGGUGGGGCUCAGUAAAGGUUCAUUACCCGGGAUGGGCCUGCAAACCUUCAGCCUGGCCCCUUCCCUCCACCGCGCUCUGGGUGCAGGAACUAGCGGCAGAUGUGGGCAUCGCUGGAGCAUCACUUGGGUGCUGGGUGCUGUGCCCACAUGCCCAGGAGAGUCAGCCAAGGUGGGGCCUGUGCUCUGGGAGGUGUUAGCAUUCUGGCCCCUGGUCCCAUGCUGCAGCUACCUCCUCUGCCCUAUCUGCCCCUGCCUUGCCCCAUCCUCGAGCCACUGGCAGGGCCCCCUUGGGUGGGGCGGGCAGGGCAGGGCAGGGCUGAGCACAAGGCAGCAGGGCGGCAUUAUCGCUCCCAGCAGAGCUGGAGUCAGAGUUAAGCCUGUCUUUUUAUCAUGUCCCCAGGCCUGUGCUGACAUGCAUGGCCUGGCUCUGUGGGGGUGGGUGGGGGGCCCUAUGGUGGUUGCCCAAGGCCUUCCUCCUCUGAAAUGGUUCCCAGAGCAGGAAUGGGAGAGGAAAGCUGGCUUGGACACCGUGUCAUCCUAGGCAAUCCCUUCCCUCUCUUGAGAAAAAUCUAUAAAUUGAGGGUGGAGGGGCAGCUGAAUAAGGUGGCCUCUAAGGCGCUUCCAGCUCUAAAGAGUUAGGAUGCUGUGGCCACCUGUAAGCUAGCCAUGUGGCCACCUGUGAGCUAGCCAUGAUGGUCAACCUGUUUACAGACGAGGGACCUGCGGCCAAGCAAAGGGAAGAGACUCGAGCCCACAGCACACUAGCUCAUAGCAGAGCUGAGUGACACCCAGGCCACCUGACUCCCAGCCCAAUGCUCUUCCCACCCUACACAUCCCGACCUUCUAGAAGGAAAGGUCUGGAGAGGAUGGGGUGGGGGUGGGGCUGCCUCCUCCAGGCUCCCUCUCCUUCCAUCAGGUUCCAGGAAUGGGCUGCGGCUGAGGUCCAGACAUGUGGGCACCUGGGAGCCCUGGAGGGUUUGGGGUCACUCCUUGGCUCCUGUCCAAGGGACAGCAGGGCUUCCAGAGUGUGUGGAGAGCUGGCCCCAUUUUCAGGCCUUGAUAACAGCCCUUCCCAUAUCAGGGGACCAAGGACUGGGAGGGGUGUGCCUGGGAAUCAAGGGCAGGUUGGGCCGAAAUGAGGAGGCAGAAAGGGAAGUAGGGGAGUGCCCAUUGUGGUGCAGCAGAAAUGAAUCCAACUAGGAUCCCUGAAGAUGUGGUUCUGAUCCCUGACCUCACUCAGUGGGUUGGGGGUCCCGCAUUGCUGUGGCUGUAGUGUAGGCUGGCAGCUGCAGCUCUGAUUCAACACCUCGCCUGGGAACUUGCAUAUGCUGCAAGUGCAGCCCUAAAAAGCAAAAAAAAAAAAAAAAAAAA